Cryptomeria japonica (Japanese cedar) is the source of this 4537-nucleotide RNA transcript. RefSeq lists it as uncharacterized. The transcript has 3 exons. NCBI's taxonomy places the organism in Eukaryota, Viridiplantae, Streptophyta, Pinopsida, Cupressales, Cupressaceae. The record is from RefSeq and is a predicted model, not a curated record.
UGGAAUGAGUAGCAUAGGAUCAGUCUAAUCGAAACCAAAUCCAAAGCAACCAUGUCGGAAUCUGUCUAUGUUCAGAGCAUUUUCUUUCCUCUUUCCCUUGGGUGUUUCAACAAAAGGAGAGAGAAUAAACAUUAUUCUUUCUACAGGUUGGUGAUUGUCUGAUUUCUAACCAUUUCCCUUUCUCCUUUUGCCUUGGAUAUUUCGAGGAUAAGACUGAACUUGCCGCCCUCUUUGAACAGUUGGGCACUUGUCUAAUUUCUAAGCAUUUUCCUCGUUAUUUCAAGGACAGGACUGAACCUUGAGGUAUAUCCAUUUAAUUCGCUCUACCCUUCUCCUUCAACACAAACUCAUAUUGCAAUCAAAUCCUAAUUGCCUUGCUCUCUCUUUUUAGUUUUUUAAACGAGUGAUGAGAGUUUGAAUUGGAAUCGAUGGCGUUAUCUUCAUCAUCUCAAAAUCAGGAAUUUAAUGCUUUCUCUGGCAAGAGAAGGAUGGUUUCUGAAUCUUCAAGAUCAUUUCAUGUAUUCAUCAACCACAGAGGCCCUGAUGUCAAACAAACUGUUUCUAUUCAGCAUUAUAAUUCCCUUCGGCAGUUGGGAAUUCGGGCUUUUCUUGAUUCAGAAGAGAAGCAACUUGGAGAUUCGUUUCCUUUCGCCAUUAAUACAGCUAUCCGUUUUUCCUUUGUACACGUAGCCAUCUUUUCCAAAGGAUAUGCAGAUUCACCUUGGUGUCUAACUGAACUAGUUCUCAUCUUAGAGAGCCAGGCCAAAAUUAUCCCUGUGUUUUAUGGAGUGAAACCUUCUGAUCUACGCCACAUAGAAAAAGGAGUAUACGCUGAUGCAUUCAUUAAAUAUGAAGAAAAGGGCAGGUACCUGGAGAAGCUUAACAAGUGGAAGGAGGCCCUUCAGUCUCUUUCACUUAUAGCCGAAGAAAAAAUUAACAGGUAACAUAAAUUUUUGGUACUUAUAUAAUUUUUCUCUUUUAUCGAAUAUGUUUUAACAAUUAACUCAUGGAAUCCUCCCAUUAUGGUAUAAAAUUUCAGCGACUAGCACUACCAAACAAUAGUGGCAGCUGUGCAAAAACAAGUACAAAGGAAAAUACCUUUACAUGUUGCUCAACAUCUAGUGGGGCUUAACAAUCUUGUGAAAGAUUUUGAACGACAUUUCCUUAUGGAACUUGUAUAAGAUUUUGAAAACCAGUGUGGGCUGGAGAAAAGUAAGGGUAAGGCUAAGCUAGUUGGCAUUUUUGGCAUGGGUGGAGCGGGGAAGACAACUCUGGCCAAAGAGUUGUUUAACCAGAAGAGUUUGAAUUACUCUGAAGCAGCAUUUUUGUUUGAUGUGCGAGAAGUGUCUGAGAGAAGAGAAUUGCCUUCUCUGCAACUUAAGCUUCUCAAAGACCUCUUUCAUAGACAUGACCUCAGUUUUACAAGCAUAGAAGAAGGAACAAACUAUCUCAACCAAAGUCUACAACAAAGCCCUGCCCAUUUAAGCUUCCUAAUUUUUAUAGAUGACAUCAAUCAUGUGGAGCAGUUAAAUGCUCUACUGGUUGUGGAUAUCUUAAAUAGAUUAAAUAAAAAUCUUGUUAUUGUAACAACCCAUGACAUUGGCGUGGUCAGAAUUUUAGGGAUUACUAUUGGCUAUCGUUUAGGUGGAAUGGAUGUAAAUAAUGGGAGUGAACUGUUUUGUUGGCAUGCCUUUGACCAGCCCAAUCCACCUAGCGGAUUUGAGGAAUUGGUUAAAUCCUUCGUAGAUGUGUGUGGAGGUUUACCUCUUUCUCUUCAAGUUUUGGGCAGGCACGUUCAUGGUAGAAGUGAGGAAUAUUGGAGGUCACAAUUGUUUGAAGUUAGAAAGACGUUGCCUCGAAAUGUAAAGGAAAGAUUGAGAAUAAGUUUUGAUGCAUUGAAUGCUGAAGAGAAACAGGUUUUUAUAGAUAUUGUUUGCUUUUUGGGGGGCAGAGGAGACUAUAGCAGAAGAAGUAUGGCAGGCAUCAGGAUGGAACACUCAACAUACACUACAAAAACUCAGAGACAAAUGUCUUGUAGAAGAAAGAGAAAAAAGAGGUCCAUAUUUUCAUUUUCUGAGAAUGCAUGACCACCUGAGGGACUUGGGAUGAGAAAUUGCACUUGAGCGUAGACCUCCUCAUCGCCUAUGGCCUCAUCAAGAUCUAAAAUAUUUGGAUUUAAGAAAUAUCCUCGCCCAAACCAAUCUCAGGUGUCUCCGUUCCAUUUUUGACAAGUCCAUGAAUUCUCAAGUGACAUUCUUUCUAGGCCAAUCAAACAACUGUGUUGAAACGCCAACUUUCGUACUAUAUCUCGAGCUUGAGGGCUAUUACGCAGAACGGUCAGAGAAGAGCAUUCCUUUGUGGAUUCCUCUUCAAUGUUUGAAGUAUUUGAAAAUCAGCCAUGAAACAUUUAAAACAUUAUGGAACAAACACAAAUGGGUAUUUUGAUCUUCUCAGUCAAAAAGUUAAUCUCCUUCAACGGUUUGGUAGAAAUCUCCGGACUAUUUUUUAGUCAUUCAGAUGCCCUCACAGUUGAAAAGUCUUCAUAUUAAUGGAUGCCCAAAGCUUAAGGAGGUAACUCUUGGUCAUCUCAGCUGCUUGGAAAACAUUACUAUUAUGCACUGUAGUGAUUUGAAAGGUGUGUUAGGAAUAUCCAAUCUUGUGAAGCUUGUAGAACUAAGCAUUAUAGGUUGUAGGAAGCUAGAGUUUGAACGCUUGUGCCUCAGAGGCAUGAAGUGUCUACAGAACAUAACAUUUGAUGUAAAGGUGAAAUCUUUUAUAUUGGAUGGUUGUCAACUUUGAAAACAGUAGAGUUUAGUUGUGAAGAGCUUGUAGAAUUAAGCGUUCGUGGCUAUCUGAAGCUUUAGAAAUUGCCAGUUUUGGGAUGCUCGUUGGAGAGGAUUGUAAUUGAUGGGUGUAGAGAGUUCGAAUGCCUUCAAUUGGAUGGUUGCCAUAAUUUCAAAAGUCUUACGCUGCCAACACCAUUUAUCAAUCUGUCUAUACGAAGUUGCGGAGAUUUGCAAAGAGGGGCAGGAAUUAGUGAUCUUACAGGGCUUAUAGAGUUGUACAUUAGUGAUUGUCCUGAGCUGCCAAGUCUUUCCAGUCUGAUUUGCUUGGAGAAAUUUCAGAUUGACAAUUGUAAGAAGCUACAGAACAUUACGCUGCCAACACUCAUCAGUCUGUCUAUACGAAGUUGCACAGAUUUGCAAAGAGUAGCAGGAAUUAGUGAUCUUACAAAGCUUAUAGAGUUGCGCUUUAUAAAAUGUCCUAAGCUUGCGAAGUUUCCGUGUCUUUCCAAUCUUAAUUGCUUGGAGAAAAUUGAGCUUGACAAUUGUAAGAAUCUACAAUACAUUGCAUUGCCAACAACACUCAUUUGUCUGUUUAUAUGAAAUUGCAGAGAUUUGCAGGGAGUUGAAGGAAGUGGUGAUCUUUCAAAUCUUAUAGAGAUGCACAUUAUAAAGUGUCUCAAGCUUGAGAACCUUCCAAGUUUUUUCAAUCUGAAUUGCUUGGAGAAAAUUGAACUUGGAAAUUUUAACAAUCUACAGCGCGUUACAUUGCCAACAACACUCAUCAGUCUUUCUCUGCGAAGUUGCAGAGAUUUGCAAGGAGUUGAAGGAGCUAGUGAUCUUUCAAAGCUUAUAGAGUUGUACAUUAUACAGUGUCCAAAGAUUGAGGAGUUUCCAAAAUUUUCCAAUCUCAAUUGCUUGGAGAAAAUUGAGCUUGACAAUUGUAACAAUCUACAGAACAUUACAUUGCCAACAACUCUCAUCAGUUUGUGUAUACGAAGUUGGAGAGAUUUGUAAAGAGUAGAAGGAACAAGUGAUCUUUCGAAGCUUAAAGAAUUGGACAUUAAAAACUGUCCCGAGCUUGAGGAGUUGUUGAUUCUUUCCAGAGUGAGUUGCUUAAGGUACAUUGGCAUUGACACUUGUGAGAAGGUGAAGAACAUAGUAGGUAUGGAAGAGUUGCAUGCAUUGAGAGGUGUGCAACUUCUUUAUUGCAGCAGUUCAAUAAUUCAGCAUUACCUUCCCAGGUUCAAGACUAUGAUGUCCUCUUAUACCCUUGUGAUCGAAAGAGCAGUGGAUGGAGCGACGUCAAUUUUAAAUGAGUAUAUGUUUUAUGAUGUUGGUAUUGGCGAUGAUGCAGUCACUAACAUUGUUACAGAAAUGGACCGUACUGAAUUAAAAAUCAAGUUGGAAGAAUCAUGUAGAGUUAUUCUAUGCUAUGUGGUUGUGGUUGAUAGCUCUACUUCGAUAGAGGAUAUAAACAAAUCACUUCUACAAAACCCACUCUACGCCGGUACUGGAUUUGAAGUGCGUCAAGGAGAAUGGAUACUUACAAUGGUGGCAACAUAUGGCAAUACAAUUUUUAUAUGCAAAUUGAAGAUGUUUUAAGCAAGUUUGGAAUAAUAAAGAAGGGGUUUCUCGUAAAGGUGAAGAAAGUUGAAGAGUGGAAAGGUAUUCAAGUGUUGCACACAAUUAUUGAUAGGUUAUAUAUCAUUUAUGAAUGAAUUUUUUCGAAUUUUUUUUUUUUUUAAUAAUUC